AUUGAACGCUGGCGGCAGGCUUAACACAUGCAAGUCGAGCGGGGGAAGGUAGCUUGCUACCGGACCUAGCGGCGGACGGGUGAGUAAUGCUUAGGAAUCUGCCUAUUAGUGGGGGACAACAUCUCGAAAGGGAUGCUAAUACCGCAUACGUCCUACGGGAGAAAGCAGGGGAUCUUCGGAACUUGCGCUAAUAGAAGAGCCUAAGUCGGAUUAGCUAGUUGGUGGGGUAAAGGCCUACCAAGGGGACGAUCUGUAGCUGGUCUGAGAGGAUGAUCCGCCACACUGGGACUGAGACAAGGCCCAGACUCCUACGGGAGGCAGCAGUGGGGAAUAUUGGACAAUGGGGGGAACCCUGAUCCAGCCAUGCCGCGUGUGUGAAGAAGGCCUUAUGGUUGUAAAGCACUUUAAGCGAGGAGGAGGCUACUCUAGUUAAUACCCAGGGAUAGUGGACGUUACUCGCAGAAUAAGCACCGGCUAACUCUGUGCCAGCAGCCGCCGUAA
RNAcentral lists this ribosomal RNA (501 nucleotides) under uncultured bacterium. RNAcentral's name for it is "partial 16S ribosomal RNA". It matches the Rfam family "Bacterial small subunit ribosomal RNA", at positions 30 to 523 of the family's 1533-position model. The record is from RNAcentral.